RNAcentral lists this transfer RNA (75 nucleotides) under Candidatus Liptonbacteria bacterium RIFCSPLOWO2_01_FULL_53_13. RNAcentral describes it as "tRNA-Cys". It matches the Rfam family "tRNA". From Rfam's summary of the family: Transfer RNA (tRNA) molecules are approximately 80 nucleotides in length. Lineage: Bacteria; Candidatus Liptoniibacteriota. The record is from RNAcentral.
GGCGGCAUGGUGAAGUGGUAACACUGGAGUCUGCAAAACUCCCACGCGCCGGUUCGAUUCCGGCUGCCGCCUCCA